UUUGUGCUAUAAACCUAGUAGGCACACUAUCACGGUAACUGGAGAUAUUACUGUUUGGUAAGAACCUGCCUAUUCAUUCCUCACAUCAUGAUUUCCAGAUUCCCCCUCAUAUUUAUAUUGCAGCUCCGAGGCUCUUCAGUGAAAUAUGCUUAAAAUCUUGCUCAUACCUCCCUGGAACUACACACUGGUGAGCAUAGGCUUGUGUGCUGCACAGCUUGGGUACCAGAGCAGAUGCUUCUGCACUGACUGUUCAUGUGGAAGACAGGUGCUGAGACCUCUCCCUGGUGCCACACAGGACAGAGGUACUGGAAGCUGAGAGCCUGUCCCAGAACUAUGAGAAGACUCUGGCUCCAUCUUCUCUAUACUAUCCUAUAAGAAUAUGGCAGCUGGCAAAUUUUUUACUUUAUUUCAUGUCGCUCAGGCACAAAGGGAUUAUCUCACCAUCUAAUCACAGGAUGAAAGUAUAAAAUGAGGAAAAUCAACAGUAUUAUACCAGCAAAUACCUCAAGAAGGCAGAGAUAAUUACUCCAAUUAUUACUGGAGAGCCAGGUGGGCAAAUUAGAGGACUGGGCCAAUCAGGGAUAGAUAAAGGAAACGUUUCCCAGAGUUUAGAGAAGCAGCUGAUAAUCCUUAUGUUUACAAUGCUACUGUUUUAUCUUGAAUCACUUCUUCAAAUUAGUAGUAUGGCUAUUCCUAGCUCAGGUAAGCAUGUAUAAAAUAUAAUAAAUAGCUUUAAAUAAACAAAGCAGGAAGAGGAUAAAGACUGGUGUCAGUGCAUGAGCCUGAUUCAUUGCUUAAGGAUCGCUUGUGAUAGAAAGAAUAUCUGAUCUUUUCAAUUUUUAAAAUUAAAAUUUGUAUUCCCAGAAAUAAAGGAGGUGCAGCAUGAGGGGAUCAACAUGUGACAGGUUAGCUGCAAGUACUUUCAUUACUUAUUUUCUAUUCCCUUGUGUCUCCUUUUUUCCUCUGUACUGAAGCAGCUAAUCAUGUGAGAAAUCACCCUUGCUGGUAUUUACUGCUUUAAAUUUUGUUGGCAUUGAUUAAUCAUAUGCUGUCAAGAAUAUUAGAUGGUAGGUCUUUGGUAGAGCCUGAUGGAAGAAAGCAAGGUUGUGAUUUAAUAUUAAAACCAGUUUAAACAAUGCUAGGUUGAAUUUCAGCCUUUUUUAUUUAUAGAGUUAGUAGAGAAGUCUGGCAAUAUAUUAUUCUUUCAUUUAGAUCUCUUCCUGGGCAAGGAUCACGUUUUAUUCAGUAAUACUUUAUUUUACAAACUGACCUCAUCUACAUGUAAAUCAGAAUGGCAGUAAGACUAUAAAAGCAGAUAUUACAAUUGCUAAAAAUGUGUUUUAAAAAAGGGAUCACCAGCCUUAUAUUACUCUUUAGGAAAGAUACGGAGAUUGUGCAGCAGUUUCUUUUGCUAUGUGCUACUGGACAGGAACUCAAACCCAAAAAAUGCAGUUCAACCACUGUUCAGGUCAGUGUUGGUAACAUUUCAGAUUGGCUUGACUUCUCUUUAAAUCUAUGGAUUGCUAUCCAUUAUAAUCAAGCCAACAGUCUCAUACUUAGUGAGUAUAAGAUUCUAUUGAUUCAAGAAAAAUAUUUGAAAGUCCAGACUGUUUUUUUCAGGUUCUUUUAUGUUUUAGUAUAUGUUAGGAUUAAAGGCUCAAUACUCCUGAGAUAUUUGAGUUAUUGGGAAGGCAGAAAACAGCAAAGAUAGUAUUUCACACAUGUGCAAGAACAAAAUAGAUGGAACUCCCUGUGGUUUUGAGAUACCAGUCUAAAAAGGCCUUGAAAAAAAAUUGGAUCAAGCCUUGGUGCAGAAAUAUGGAACUGUUCCAAAAAUAACAUAAAUUCUCUGCUGUUGUGAAAGCAACUGUUUCUGACUUGGUCCUUUAUUGCUGCCCUAUACACUGCUAGUGUGUAAUGAGUCAGGGAUCAUGUUGUAGGAGAUAGGAAUUUUCUCUCCAGAAGAUAAAGUUCGGUUUAAC
This is a non-coding RNA of Phalacrocorax carbo (great cormorant), 1982 nucleotides long. NCBI's taxonomy places the organism in Eukaryota, Metazoa, Chordata, Aves, Suliformes, Phalacrocoracidae. The record is from RefSeq and is a predicted model, not a curated record.